This 212-nucleotide long non-coding RNA is filed under the name Lathyrus oleraceus (garden pea). RNAcentral describes it as "Pisum sativum (pea) long non-coding RNA (PSAT_LNC039807)". The record is from RNAcentral. Lineage: Eukaryota; Viridiplantae; Streptophyta; Magnoliopsida; Fabales; Fabaceae.
AAACAUUUGAAAUAGUGAACUCCAAUCUUGCCAAGCUUUUAUAUUAGAUUAAAACCAUUUUAUUGUUUUUAGUGAUAUUUACUCACAAGAUAACUUUCCAACCAAAACAACCUUGUUACUUUCUAAACUUACAACAUUUGGAUUAUAGAACGGCGGUAAUAUCAACCAAUCUCUGUGGAUACGAUAUAAAAAUAUUUGCCGAAGAUAUACUU